This 492-nucleotide ribosomal RNA is filed under the name uncultured bacterium. RNAcentral's name for it is "partial 16S ribosomal RNA". It matches the Rfam family "Bacterial small subunit ribosomal RNA", at positions 29 to 507 of the family's 1533-position model. The record is from RNAcentral.
AGUGAACGCUGGCGGUAGGCUUAACACAUGCAAGUCGAACGGCAGCACAGUAAGAGCUUGCUCUUACGGGUGGCGAGUGGCGGACGGGUGCGGAAUACACCGGCAUCUACUUUUUCGUGGGGGAUAAGGUAGGGAAACUUACGCUAAUACCGCAUACGACCUACGGGUGAAAGCAGGGGAACUUUGGACCUUGCGCGAUUGAAUGAGCCGAUGUCGGAUUAGCUAGUUGGUGGGGUAAAGGCCCACCAAGGCGACGAUCCGUAGCUGGUCUGAGAGGAUGAUCAGCCACACUGGAACGGAGACACGGUCCAGACUCCUACGGGAGGCAGCAGUGGGGAAUAUUGGACAAUGGGCGCAAGCCUGAUCCAGCCAUACCGCGUGGGUGAAGAAGGCCUUCGGGUUGUAAAGCCCUUUUGUUGGGAAAGAAAAGCUGUAGGUUAAUACCCCGCGGUACUGACGGUACCCGAAGAAUAAGCACCGGCUAACUACGUG